RNAcentral lists this ribosomal RNA (496 nucleotides) under uncultured bacterium. RNAcentral's name for it is "partial 16S ribosomal RNA". It matches the Rfam family "Bacterial small subunit ribosomal RNA", at positions 28 to 506 of the family's 1533-position model. The record is from RNAcentral.
GAUGAACGCUGGCGGCGUGCCUAAUACAUGCAAGUCGAGCGAACGGACGAGAAGCUUGCUUUUCUGAUGUUAGCGGCGGACGGGUGAGUAACACGUGGAUAACCUACCUAUAAGACUGGGAUAACUUCGGGAAACCGGAGCUAAUACCGGAUAAUAUUUUGAACCGCAUGGUUCAAAAGUGAAAGACGGUCUUGCUGUCACUUAUAGAUGGAUCCGCGCUGCAUUAGCUAGUUGGUAAGGUAACGGCUUACCAAGGCAACGAUGCAUAGCCAACCUGAGAGGGUGAUCGGCCACACUGGAACUGAGACACGGUCCAGACUCCGACGGGAGGCAGCAGUAGGGAAUCUUCCGCAAUGGGCGAAAGCCUGACGGAGCAACGCCGCGUGAGUGAUGAAGGUCUUCGGAUCGUAAAACUCUGUUAUUAGGGAAGAACAUAUGUGUAAGUAACUGUGCACAUCUGGACGGUACCUAAUCAGAAAGCCACGGCUAACUACGU